Amphibalanus amphitrite is the source of this 654-nucleotide long non-coding RNA. RefSeq lists it as uncharacterized. NCBI's taxonomy places the organism in Eukaryota, Metazoa, Arthropoda, Thecostraca, Balanomorpha, Balanidae. The transcript has 7 exons. The record is from RefSeq and is a predicted model, not a curated record.
UAUAACGCAGGUCGGAGAGUAUUCCGGCCCAGGACGUUCGGCAACACCCAAAACAUCAGUCCACCUCAGUCUGGGUCCGUUGCAGUAAACGGCACUGCCGCACUGCAUUUAACAGAAGCAUCUGUUGAAUUGAAUAUGAGAAGGACAACUUUACAAAACAUGAAGAGAUUCGGCUAUAACCGAAUACGCAGUAGUUUUGUGCCUUCAACCGCCUCAUCAAAUCUCAACCAGGAUAUUCAGAGCUCGGGGAGUUCCUCAAAUAAAGUUAAAGAAACCUUUUCGAACAAAACCGGGCAGCCUGCUCGCAUACUCGAGGAUAUCAAAUCUUAUAUUGGAGAUUACUUGAAGAAAACAGCAAGAGCAGAAGGAAAAUUCGGAUACGAAAGAAAUCCAUUCUACUGGAGGCACUCAGUCGAAGAGGAUGCUGAGUUCAGAAAAACGCGAUUUUCUCUGAAGAAAUCCAGACUGGGUCUGACGAAAUACCGGUCGGUGUCUACCGGAGAGGAGGUUGGAUUUUACCGCAGUGCAAAAAAGUCGUCAGGUCAGCUUUUCGUCGUAAAGCCAACACUGUUCAGUAGCUGCCUCAGUCGUGCUGCUAACGAGUCAGGCUGGCUGGACCUCGGAAAGAAACCCGAUACGCUUGAGAAAUGCACG